GGGGGGAGGAGGGGACCAAAUAGAACCUUUUAGCAAAUUUAUUACCAUAAACUACUGUAUUUGAAGUUUUCAAUUGAGAAGCAUUUGAGCUUUUAUGUGAUACGGAGUAAUAUAAAAUGAAUUUACAUCUCCCUUUUGCUGCUCUUUAACUGAUCUAAUUAUUUAUUACAUAUACCACAAAAGCUCACUUGUAUACAAAAACCUCCCUUAUGUAGUGAAUAAUUUUUCCUUUGAUCUCACUACUUAAGAUCUUAUUUAACAAAAGCUUAUUUGCUUUCAUUUGGUAAGGCGUCUUAUGCUGAGGCAUGGGGAUUUUAGGUAAUGUGCAUAAGACUCCUAACCAAAUGAAAGAUGCUCAUUCAUGUAAAAAGCAAAUAAGCUUUUGGUAAUGUGCAUUGUUCCAGUACCGAAGUGCAGCUGUGGAGUCCCAUAACGGAUUUAACUUGGAUGUGAAAGAUGCUCAUUCAUUCAGUUGGAUUCCAACCCAGCUACAUUGACUGUUGCACUUAUCUCCUUGUGAUAUCCAUGGAGGCCAACAUCAGAAAAGCUAUGGUAUUAUUGUUCAAGAGGCUGAGCCUGGGACAUGACAUUCUGUUCUCUUCAGUGGAUGUGGGACUUCUUUCAUCUCAGCAGAUUGGCUUAGAGUCAAUGGCACAAUCCUACUCUAUGAUGUUGACAGUUUCUGGUGCCAACAUCGGUGUCAAAUCCGAUGUUCUAGUGGGCAAAAUAUGAGGAUAGCUUGUUCUUCCACUUCAGUGGUCAUUGUACACAAAUUCCUUCAGAAGAUGGUGACAAAUUGUUGGAAAGAAUUGCACAAUGAUUUCAACCUUACCUUUGAUACGAGCCUACUGCUAAACGGUUCCUUUGAGAACAGAGGAGAUUUCAACGGGCAUGGCCAAAUAGGUUGUUGGAGUAGUCUUGGGGCACCUACAGAUGCUGUCCAUUUGAUGCUUGGGAAGCAUGAGAGCAAUCAGCAACCACCACUCCUCAUAUUGGUGAGAGGUUGAAGCUACAAAUAUAUGCUCAGCAUCUGUGCUUGUACUGCAGUGAUAAAAAUCCUCCUAUCACUUUCAGGGCCAAACUGCUUAAGGUCGCCGGCUGUUGUUCGGCAGAAGAUUUGUCUGGUGAGAGGUCACUUUCAAAGAAACCUAGAAUUUUCUUGCAUCAUUUGGCAACCAGUUGGCAAUCUAACAACACAAUUUACAGUACUAAAUCAUCCAAGGGUGAAAAGCUGAGCCUUAGGAAACAUGGUGCUCUGCACGACUCCACGGGCUCCGCUAUGUAUCCUUGUUCUCACAAAGUUGUGCACAACAGACAAUCCAAGUCCGGUAUAUAAAACUUUUUUCUUAUUACUUUAUUAGUGAUAAAAUAUGAGUAGUAUAUAGAGUAUAGACUGCAAUAUUUUAACUCGACUAGAAUCAAUCAAGAGUAUUGACUAUUGACGAUACAAGUUUGAUAAUUUCGACCUAUUUGCAUAAUGCAUUUGAACCAUCUGAUUUGGCUUCUAUCUUUAGAUAAAUCUUCGCUAAUUUCCUCUUCAGGAAUUUCACACGCCUGUCUAGCAUGAUUUCCUCUUUAUCAAGCCGGUUGAUAUUGUGUUGCUUAACCUUUUAUUGUUUCCUUGUUCUGUCAAUUACAGUUCUGAUGUACUGUGCAUUUACCGUAAUAGUAGCAAAAACCGGGAAGUAGCAAUCCAUGGAAUAAGACAAAAAAAAAAAAAAAAAAAAAAAA
Long non-coding RNA from Chenopodium quinoa (quinoa), 1731 nucleotides. RefSeq lists it as uncharacterized. The record is from RefSeq and is a predicted model, not a curated record. The transcript is spliced from 4 exons. Lineage: Eukaryota; Viridiplantae; Streptophyta; Magnoliopsida; Caryophyllales; Amaranthaceae.